This 492-nucleotide ribosomal RNA is filed under the name uncultured bacterium. Its description in RNAcentral is "partial 16S ribosomal RNA". It matches the Rfam family "Bacterial small subunit ribosomal RNA", at positions 29 to 507 of the family's 1533-position model. The record is from RNAcentral.
AGUGAACGCUGGCGGUAGGCCUAACACAUGCAAGUCGAACGGCAGCACAGUAAGAGCUUGCUCUUACGGGUGGCGAGUGGCGGACGGGUGAGGAAUACAUCGGAAUCUACUUUUUCGUGGGGGAUAACGUAGGGAAACUUACGCUAAUACCGCAUACGACCUACGGGUGAAAGCAGGGGAUCUUCGGACCUUGCGCGAUUGAAUGAGCCGAUGUCGGAUUAGCUAGUUGGCGGGGUAAAGGCCCACCAAGGCGACGAUCCGUAGCUGGUCUGAGAGGAUGACCAGCCACACUGGAACUGAGACACGGUCCAGACUCCUACGGGAGGCAGCAGUGGGGAAUAUUGGACAAUGGGCGCAAGCCUGAUCCAGCCAUACCGCGUGGGUGAAGAAGGCCUUCGGGUUGUAAAGCCCUUUUGUUGGGAAAGAAAAGCAGCAGGUUAAUACCCCGCUGUCCUGACGGUACCCAAAGAAUAAGCACCGGCUAACUUCGUG